AGGCGACGCUGGGAGGCUGGGGUAGGCCCAGAGCGAGGACGGGCCCGGACUGGGUAGUGGGGAUGUACCAGGGCCGGGUGCGGCGGGAGACGGCCCGGGAGGCGGAAGGUCGCGGACCUGCCCGACAGAAGAGUAGAUGAGGGGAGACCGAGGACGCCCGGGUCCGGGGAGCUUACGAGGAGGCCAGGAUCGCGGGUUCACGUGGGCACCUUGGAACACUGAAGAAGGCAUUUUCCGAACUCACUGUCCUACGGACUUAUUCUCCGCACUGUUUUCGCCUCCUUCGCCCUGUUCUCGUGACUGACAGGAGCAGGGGUCACAAGCAGGCAGCCCGAGAGCUCUGCUCACCUGGAAAAGCAUUUUUGUGUAGCUUAAAUGUGAAGGCCUCAGGCAGUGGCCUGUUGUCCUCCUCCACAUGCGCCCAUCUUCACUCUUUCAUGUGACUGGCCUGUUUUUGAAGGCAGGACCCUGUCACCCUUGGCUAGGCCAGGUAUGUUCUGCACCGAAAAUGGCCCUGCCCUCUGCAUUGGAUGGCUAGCUCUUAGGUUGGUUUAUUUUAGCAAAUAAGCGUUACAGGGUAGGCGAACUGGCUGCAUCAGAACCACAAUUACCCCUGUGUCUCUGGGUGGGAUAAAUGGCGGAUGGCAUUCUGGCAGCUCAGCCCCACUUAUCUCAGAGGUUAUAGAUCUGAGGUGGUUUAGAUCCACCCCCAAAUCACGAACAUUUUACAUAAGCCGUGCUAGAGUUAGCAUAAAAGUCUCACAGAAAAAUUUGGAAACUGAGAAAUCCUAACCUAUUCCCACAAUCCUGUGUUCCCAUUUUUAGGUCUUAAGAUAUGAAGACAAUGGGAUAACUGAGGCUGAUUUUGCUGUGUGGCCAUUAGACCUAGAAAUAUUGGUGUGAUUCUGGAGUUGAUUGCUCCACACGUUUAUUUAUUUAUUUUCCUUUUUUUCCCUCCUCUUCCUCCUCCUCUAUUCUUUAAAAACGUAUGGAAAUGUAUCCGGCAAUGUUUACUGUAAAAAAUAAUGUAUGGAAAUGACUACAAUUUGCUAAAAUAAAAAUCAUUGAGCACUUAUGUGUGUCAGACACUAUGCUAGGUAUAAAGAGGGGAAGAUGGUGUCCCUAUUCAAAAGAGAGUCACACACACUUAAGUUACAGUGCAGUCAUAAAUACCAUGAUCGCAGUAUGCACAGGUCCAUUUUCUCUAUCUGGGUGAUGGGAAGGUUCAAAACUAAGCUAGGUUUUGAAUGAGGAAUAGUUUCAUUUUGAAGCACAUCCAUUUUGCGAUGCCUCUGGAGCUAUCUAGUGAACAAUUUAGAUGCGUGGUUCAGAAGCUCGAUGGGAGGCUUGGGAACACAGAAUGUGUAAAAUAAGCAUCAGUCUCCCUUUCACCCUCUCUGCACUUUUUAAGGGUCAUCUGUCUUUAGUAUAUAUUGGUAAGAGAUUUUAUGGAGGAUACCAAUUCUUUUUUUUUUUUUUUGAGACAGAGUCUCACAUUGUCACCCAGGGUGGAGUGCAGUUGCACGAUCUCUGCUCACUGCAACCUCCGCCUCCCGGGUUCAAGCGAUUCUCCUGCCUCAGCCUCCCAAGUAGCUGGGAUUACAGGUGCCCACCACCAGGCCCAGCUAAUUUUCGUAUUUUUAGUAGAGACGGGGUUUCACUAUGUUGGCCAGGCUGGUCUUGAACUCCUGACCUCGUGAUUCACCCACCUCGGUCUCCCAAAGUGCCGGGAUUACAGGUGUGAGCCACCGUGGCCUGCCAGCAUACCAAUUCUUAUGAGAGAAUGUCAGGGGUAGAAGAGAUCCAAGGAAAUGGUUGACCAGGUAAAAAACUGAUAAAGGUCAAAUAGAAAUAAGCCUGAGAAUUGCCCCAUCAGAUUUGGUUUAGUGUUUAGUAGGUAUAGUUAUAGUGCCAGAUAUAUAAUAACUGAGUUCCUUUUGAAAGCAUAUAGUAAAAUCAAAUCUGAUUAGCCUAAGUAACAGAGGUGAUUUAUUGUAAUGAUUCUGGGGUAUCUGACAGAUUGUAGAUAUUCUCUCUAGGGUGCUCCUAUCCAAUAUAAAUUUCUGUAAUGAUGAAAAUGUUCUAUGUCUGCUGUGUCUUAAUAUGGUAACCAUUAGCCAAAAGUGCUACUGAGCAUAUGAAAUGUAGCUAGUGCAACUGAGACCCUGUAAACUAAGAUUCCAGUCAAAGAGAAGGGAAAAAACAGUGAGCUUUGCCCACAGUCUUUAAGACCUGUGCCCAGAAAUAGUACAUAAUAUUUCUGCUUACAUUCCACUGGAAAUAACUUAGUCACAUGAUCACACCUAACUGCAAGGAAGCCUGGGAAAUGUAGAUUAGCAGUGUACCCAGAAAGACUGAGAAAAUGGUUUUGGUGAACAACUAGCAGUGGUCAGAAUACAAAAAGUAAUAAUACAGAUUUCCUGCUUUCAAGAAUAUCACAGGUUUAGUGGGAGACAGAUGAGUAUUUUACUAGCAAUGAAUAAAGAACAUGCUAUACAAACCCAAAGAAAACAGUAGAUAUAGCCUGGAUAUUUGUUCCUACCUAAAUCUCAUGUUGAAUUGUAAUUCCCAGUGUUGGAUGUGGGGCCUGGUGGGAGGUGAUUGGAUCAUGAGGGUGAAUUUCUUGUGAAUGGUUUAGCACAAUUCCUUGGUGCUGUCCUCAUGAUGGUGAGUGAGUUCUCAUGAGAUCCGGUUGUUUAAAAGUGUGUGGCACCUUGGGAGGCUGAGGCAUGAGAAUCGUUUGAAUCUGGGAGGCAGAGGCUGCAAUGAGCUGAGAUCAUGCCACUGCACUCCAGCCUGUGUGACAAAGCAAGACUCUCUUUUAAAAAAAAGUGGCACCUCCCCCCUGCCUGUGUUCCUGCUUUUGCCAUGUGACUUACGCGCUCCCACUUUGCCUUCCGUCGUGAGUAAAAGCUUCCUGAGGCCCCCGCCAGAAGCAGAUAUCAGUGCUAUGCUUCCUAUACAUCCUGUAGAACCAUGAGACACGUAAACUUAUUUUCCUGUAAAUUACCCAGUCUCUGGUAUUUCUUUAUAACAAUGUAAGAAC
Homo sapiens (human) is the source of this 3046-nucleotide long non-coding RNA. Ensembl annotates it as CPLANE1 antisense RNA 1. Its record names the gene CPLANE1-AS1. NCBI's taxonomy places the organism in Eukaryota, Metazoa, Chordata, Mammalia, Primates, Hominidae. The record is from Ensembl.